Molecule: ribosomal RNA, 441 nt
Filed under: uncultured bacterium
Lineage: Bacteria
Description: bacterial SSU rRNA
Rfam family: Bacterial small subunit ribosomal RNA
Source: RNAcentral
UCCUACGGGGGGCAGCAGGAAGGAAUUUUGGACAAUGGGGGAAACCCUGAUCCAGCAACGCCGCGUGGGCGAUGAAGGUCUUCGGAUCGUAAAGCCCUUUUCUGUGGGAAGAGGCAGGACGGUACCACAGGAAUAAGUCUCGGCUAACUACGUGCCAGCAGCCGCGGUAAAACGUAGGAGGCUAGCGUUAUCCGGAUUUACUGGGCGUAAAGCGCAUGCAGGCGGCACAGCAAGUUGGGCGUGAAAUCUCUCGGCUUAACCGGGAGGGGACGUUCAAAACUGUUGAGCUUGGGUGCAGGAGAGGGAAGCGGAAUUUCCAGUGUAGCGGUAAUAUGCGCAGAUAUUGGAAAGAACACCAGUGGCGAAGGCGGCUUCCUGGCCUGUAACCGACGCUAAGAUGCGAAAGCUAGGGGAGCGAACGGGAUUAGAUACCCCGGUAGA